CAGAAUUCACAAAUCAAAUAUGACUCGAAAGUCAAUGAGCCCAAAAGCUCAUGUUUCUCUAAUUUGUUUAUUUUGUCUUCUCCUAUAUGGCCAAGCCUGAGGUGCCAUAAAUACUUUAGAUUUAUCUCAUUUUUGGAUCUAUUAGAUCCUAUGGUAUUCACUGUUUGCUUAGAUAUAUUCACAGAUACAUCCAUAUGUAUGUGAUAGAGACUGUCAAUCAUAAAACCAUUUUGAAUCAAUUUAAUUUUCAAAUAAAUAAAAAUCUUUCUGUGCUAAAUAAAAUACAGAAAUCAAAUUUCUGCUAGCAAUAGGUAACAGUCCCUAAGUAUCUUGAGCAUAUCUGACAAACCUUCUG
This 355-nucleotide long non-coding RNA is filed under the name Phoenix dactylifera (date palm). RNAcentral describes it as "long non-coding RNA (PDAC_LNC011199)". Lineage: Eukaryota; Viridiplantae; Streptophyta; Magnoliopsida; Arecales; Arecaceae. The record is from RNAcentral.